UGCAUCGGCCGGGAAUCGAACCCGGGUCACCCGCGUGGCAGGCGAGCAUUCUACCACUGAACCACCGAUGG
Molecule: transfer RNA, 71 nt
Filed under: Cordylochernes scorpioides
Lineage: Eukaryota; Metazoa; Arthropoda; Arachnida; Pseudoscorpiones; Chernetidae
Description: tRNA-Gly
Source: RNAcentral